AGGAACUUAGGUUAACAAUAAACCAGUGGCCUUCAAAGCCACCAAUGAAGGUGAAACCCCCUCAGUCCCUG
Molecule: transfer RNA, 71 nt
Filed under: Monopterus albus (swamp eel)
Lineage: Eukaryota; Metazoa; Chordata; Actinopteri; Synbranchiformes; Synbranchidae
Description: tRNA-Trp
Rfam family: tRNA
About the family: Transfer RNA (tRNA) molecules are approximately 80 nucleotides in length. Their secondary structure includes four short double-helical elements and three loops (D, anti-codon, and T loops).
Source: RNAcentral